Molecule: ribosomal RNA, 253 nt
Filed under: uncultured bacterium
Lineage: Bacteria
Description: partial 16S ribosomal RNA
Rfam family: Bacterial small subunit ribosomal RNA
Source: RNAcentral
UACGAAGGGGGCUAGCGUUGCUCGGAAUGACUGGGCGUAAAGGGCGCGUAGGCGGUUUGUACAGUCAGAUGUGAAAUUCCCGGGCUCAACCUGGGGGCUGCAUUUGAUACGUGCGGACUUGAGUGGGGAAGAGGGUCGUGGAAUUCCCAGUGUAGAGGUGAAAUUCGUAGAUAUUGGGAAGAACACCGGUGGCGAAGGCGGCGACCUGGUCCGUGACUGACGCUGAGGCGCGAAAGCGUGGGGAGCAAACAGG